This 465-nucleotide ribosomal RNA is filed under the name uncultured bacterium. RNAcentral describes it as "partial 16S ribosomal RNA". It matches the Rfam family "Bacterial small subunit ribosomal RNA", at positions 28 to 507 of the family's 1533-position model. The record is from RNAcentral.
GACGAACGCUGGCGGCGUGCCUAACACAUGCAAGUCGAACGGAAAGGCCCUGCUUGCAGGGUACUCGAGUGGGGAACGGGCGAGUAACACGGGGGUGAACUGCCAUGUACUUUGGCAUGAGCCUGGGAAAAUGGGUAUAAAACCGGAUAGGAGACAUUAUUAGCGUGAUGGUUGGAAAGUUUUUUCGGUGUAGGGUGAGUUAGCGGGCUAUCAGCUUGUUGGUGGGGUAAUGGCCUACAAAGGCGGCGACGGGUAGCCCGCCUGAGGGGGUGGACGGCGACACUGGGUCUGAGGGACGGCCCAGACGCGUACGGGAGGCAGCAGUGGGGAAUAUUGCACAAGGGGCGCAGGCCUGAUGCAGCGGCGCCUCGUGUGGUAAGACCGCUUUCUUGUGGUAAACUCCUUUCGCUAGGGACGAAGCUUUUUGUGACGGUACCUAAAGAAGAAGCACCGGCUAACUACGUG